This 380-nucleotide unclassified non-coding RNA is filed under the name uncultured bacterium. Its description in RNAcentral is "contains 16S-23S intergenic spacer region". The record is from RNAcentral.
UCCCCGUUUUCCGGGGCAGUCCCUGUAGAGUUCCCGGCAUAACCCGCUGGCAACUACAGGCAAGGGUUGCGCUCGUUGCGGGACUUAACCCAACAUCUCACGACACGAGCUGACGACAGCCAUGCAGCACCUCUACCGACGUCCCUUGCGGGAGGACCCCCUCUCAGGGGCUUUCAUCGGCGGUUCAAACCCAGGUAAGGUUCUUCGCGUUGCGUCGAAUUAAACCACAUGCUCCACCGCUUGUGCGGGCCCCCGUCAAUUCCUUUGAGUUUCAGCCUUGCGGCCGUACUCCCCAGGCGGGGCACUUACUGCGUUAGCGACGGCACCGGGAGGGUCGCUCCCCCCGACGCCUAGUGCCCAUCGUUUACGGCGUGGACUAC